Molecule: non-coding RNA, 800 nt
Organism: Peromyscus maniculatus bairdii (prairie deer mouse)
Lineage: Eukaryota; Metazoa; Chordata; Mammalia; Rodentia; Cricetidae
Source: RefSeq, a predicted model, not a curated record
CCAACUGCCAUCAGCUCCUUUGAUAGCCGUGGGGUCUCAGGUCUUCUUCCUCCAGCCAUGCUGGAAUUUCGACUGGCUUGAUCUUGGGCCGGUAACCACUGCUGCUGUGAGUUGAUGUGGAUGAUAACCAUGUCUUGUGCAGACAUCAGCAUUUCCCAGCUCUCCUCCCCGUCUGCCGGCUCUUCCAAUUCUUUUCCCGUCCUCUUGUGCCAAGUUCCCUGAGACUUGGAAGUGGUUGAUAUAGGAUGCUUGGAGAGCUGCUGAUUCUUAGUGAUAGAGGCCUGAUGUCAGUGAAGGAAUCAUCAUCAUCAUCAUCAGCAGCAGCAGCAGCAGCAGCAAUCCGGUAGAUCAGCUCCUCAGCAGAAGGGAAGGCCAAGCAGGCAAGAGACAAUCUUCCUUCUGUCCCCAGGCUGCUCACGGAAUUCCAGGACAAAAGUGUGGUCUCAUGAAGACCUGCUGAAUGGUUGUGACAGUCAACAUAAAAAAGUCAGCAAGAACCACCCCAUCUUGUGCUCUGGUUGACGUUAUGUCUAUCCCAUGGUCACUCCUACCGUAGUGUAGCACAGGGAUGUAUCUGCACCUCCCUUUCAGCCUGGACUUCCCAACUUCAGGGUACACACAUUAUUAUCUAAGCAUUCCUCUCCUCCUUCCUCUGGUCCUUCCACUUGGCUCAAUGAUCUGCGUGAAGUGGUCCUUUAACACAAGUCGGUGGAAGGAAUCCACAGAAGAACCUCUCCCAGCUGCCUCCCUGGAUGUUUAUAACGGAACCUAGACAGGAAAUGAAAUAAUCAGAAACAAAG